This 654-nucleotide ribosomal RNA is filed under the name uncultured archaeon. RNAcentral describes it as "bacterial SSU rRNA". It matches the Rfam family "Archaeal small subunit ribosomal RNA", at positions 508 to 1160 of the family's 1478-position model. The record is from RNAcentral.
GCCUAAAGCGUCCGUAGCUGGCUCUGUAAGUUUUCGGUUAAAUCCAUAUGCUCAACAUAUGGGCCGCCGGGAAUACUGCAUAGCUAGGGAGUGGGAGAGGUAGACGGUACUCCGUAGGAAGGGGUAAAAUCCUUUGAUCUAUGGAUGACCACCUGUGGCGAAGGCGGUCUACCAGAACACGUUCGACGGUGAGGGAUGAAAGCUGGGGGAGCAAACCGGAUUAGAUACCCGGGUAGUCCCAGCUGUAAACUAUGCAAACUCAGUGAUGCAUUGGCUUGUGGCCAGUGCAGUGCCGCAGAGAAGUCGUUAAGUUUGCCGCCUGGGAAGUACGUACGCAAGUAUGAAACUUAAAGGAAUUGGCGGGGGAGCACCACAAGGGGUGAAGCCUGCGGUUCAAUUGGAGUCAACGCCAGAAAUCUUACCCGAAGAGACAGCAGGAUGAAGGUCAAGCUGAAGACUUUACCAGACAAGCUGAGAAGUGGUGCAUGGCCGUCGCCAGCUCGUGCCGUGAGGUGUCCUGUUAAGUCAGGUAACGAGCGAGAUCCUUGCCUCUAGUUGCUACCAUUACUCUCAGGAGUAGUGGGGCGAAUUAGCGGGACUGCCGUAGUUAAUACGGAGGAAGGAGAGGGCCACGGCAGGUCAGUAUGCCCCGAA